This 377-nucleotide long non-coding RNA is filed under the name Homo sapiens (human). Its description in RNAcentral is "HSALNT0181120". Lineage: Eukaryota; Metazoa; Chordata; Mammalia; Primates; Hominidae. The record is from RNAcentral.
CAGGAAGAUGUUUUCUUUUUUUUUCCCUUUCCCACUAUCCACCUUGGCCACAUCUGAAGAGUAUCGGAGAAUGUGCCAUUCUUAUAUGCUAAGUAGCCUCUUCAGCCUGGUUCCUGCUCAUGGAAUCUUGGGGCUCAAAGGAUUGUUUUAAAUUUUGAAGGCAGUUUCUUUUAGUCCAGGCUGGUAGCAUUUUGAUUCCAGUCAGUGAUACCCAUAAUUCCUUUUUAGACAUUGCCCAUAUUUCAAGACUUACCUGUCUCUUUAGACUUAAUUGCUGUCAUUUUAGCCAAAUGUAAGGAUUUACUGAAGUCCACCUUAGUACAGUCAGAGGUUUUGGCUGGGUACGGUGACUCAUGCCUGUAAUCCUAGGAUUUUGG